GUUUAAACCCGGUUGAAGCGGAAAUACUUUUUGUUCCGCUGGUAUUAAAAGAAUACUUCUUCCCCCUACAUUAUCAAUAACGCUCAGAAAAGCACUUAAACAAAAAGAUUGAAGCAAAAAACGGGGCUGACA
RNAcentral lists this small RNA (132 nucleotides) under Pedobacter soli. Its description in RNAcentral is "Flavo-1 RNA". It matches the Rfam family "Flavo-1 RNA". The record is from RNAcentral. Lineage: Bacteria; Pseudomonadati; Bacteroidota; Sphingobacteriia; Sphingobacteriales; Sphingobacteriaceae.